This 497-nucleotide ribosomal RNA is filed under the name uncultured bacterium. Its description in RNAcentral is "partial 16S ribosomal RNA". It matches the Rfam family "Bacterial small subunit ribosomal RNA", at positions 28 to 507 of the family's 1533-position model. The record is from RNAcentral.
GAUGAACGCUGGCGGCGUGCCUAAUACAUGCAAGUCGAGCGAACAGAUAAGGAGCUUGCUCCUUUGAAGUUAGCGGCGGACGGGUGAGUAACACGUGGGUAACCUACCUAUAAGACUGGGAUAACUUCGGGAAACCGGAGCUAAUACCGGAUAACAUUUAGAACCGCAUGGUUCUAAAGUGAAAGAUGGUUUUGCUAUCACUUAUAGAUGGACCCGCGCCGUAUUAGCUAGUUGGUAAGGUAACGGCUUACCAAGGCGACGAUACGUAGCCGACCUGAGAGGGUGAUCGGCCACACUGGAACUGAGACACGGUCCAGACUCCUACGGGAGGCAGCAGUAGGAAAUCUUCCGCAAUGGGCGAAAGCCUGACGGAGCAACGCCGCGUGAGUGAUGAAGGGUUUCGGCUCGUAAAACUCUGUUAUUAGGGAAGAACAAAUGUGUAAGUAACUGUGCACAUCUUGACGGUACCUAAUCAGAAAGCCACGGCUAACUACGUG